UACGUAGGGACCAAGCGUUGUUCGGAUUUACUGGGCGUAAAGGGCGCGUAGGCGGCGGGGUAAGUCGGGUGUGAAAUCUCAGAGCUCAACUCUGAAACUGCACUCGAUACUGCUCUGCUUGAGGACUGGAGAGGAGACUGGAAUUCACGGUGUAGCAGUGAAAUGCGUAGAUAUCGUGAGGAAGACCAGUGGCGAAGGCGGGUCUCUGGACAGUUCCUGACGCUGAGGCGCGAAGGCCAGGGGAGCAAACGGG
RNAcentral lists this ribosomal RNA (253 nucleotides) under uncultured bacterium. RNAcentral describes it as "partial 16S ribosomal RNA". It matches the Rfam family "Bacterial small subunit ribosomal RNA", at positions 524 to 776 of the family's 1533-position model. The record is from RNAcentral.